Long non-coding RNA from Lemur catta (Ring-tailed lemur), 1500 nucleotides. RefSeq lists it as uncharacterized. NCBI's taxonomy places the organism in Eukaryota, Metazoa, Chordata, Mammalia, Primates, Lemuridae. The record is from RefSeq and is a predicted model, not a curated record. The transcript is spliced from 3 exons.
CAAAAGCAAACCACCUAACCUGUGUGCUGCCCUUUGUCUCCGACUGUUUAUUUGCAAAAUGGGAAUUACAUUACUUAUUCAAAUGUAUGCAAAGAUCAGAGAUAAAACAAUGGAAAGUGUCUAGCAGGGUGUCCGAAACAUGGCUGUGAUGAACGACAAUUGGAGGCUCCCUGAAUCCUACGGCCUAACAACUGUCAUGUUCCCUUAAUUCCUGCAGUUCCCUGCUCUCCCAUCAAAGCACGGAUCUCAGUGUCUCCAGGGUUGCUCACUCCGCCCUCCUGCCCUCUGCCCUCUGCCCUCACAGUACCCAGGUCACAGAUCUUGCCCUUCUUCCCUCUCAACUCUACCCCACCUGUUAGUUCCAGAGGACUUGACUUUUGCUUCAAUUCCAACCCUAAAGAUUUCCCUGGCUAUUGACCCUGUCUAGAAUUCCAGCCCCCUACCCCCAGGUGGAGGAGGAUCCCUGGCCUGCCCUCCUCAGGACCGGACCCAGCAGCCUGAGUUCUGCCUCCUAUGGGCAGGCUUGGAUGACAGCUGCCCGCCUGCUCAGCCCCUGAGCUCACUGAUACUUGGACUUCCCGCUGCCCUACUCCAGCUGUUAGACCAGAAUUCGAAGGAAGCUGUGGCGCAGUGGAGUGAAACUGUUCCGCGUGGCCAGGCCCACAAAACCACACCCCACGGCCCCACCAUUCCAUCUCCCUGUGACUCUGAGUGCUGCAGUCUCAAGUUGGAGGGAAUCUUCCUUUGCUCCCGGCGUAUUCUUCAACAAAGAAACCGAGUUCUAUACCAAAACUUGACAAGCCUGAAAUCUAGAGUAUGAGUUGAAGUAAACAAAAACAAAAAACACAGCAGAUGAAGAACUAAGGCUCAGAGUGCUAAAGCUGUCUUUAAGUGACAGGGCCAGAAUUCAUAAGAAGGCUGAUAACCCCCAGCAGUUGAGAACCUACCAGAAUGUACCAGGCACAGUGCUGGUUACAUAAGAAAAGCUGAGUUAGACAGAGGCCCGUUCUCAGGGUAUUCAUUCUGGCAAGAGAUGAAGGUUAAACUAAGAACAAGGUGCUAGAAGAAAAGCAGAGGGAAGGAAGUGAACAUCUACUUCAAGGGCAAUACACACCGUAAGCUCUUAAACCAUGAACUUCACUAUUUAGAAUUGAACUCUUGUAGAAUCUUAUAUUAGACUUUGUUGCCUGUAAUUCUACUUCUCCAAUCUGAUUGUCUUCUUCCUAAGACUCAUGUUCACAUACUGUUCAUAAGACUCUAACAGGAGUUCCAGAAAUACUUAUGAAAUAAGUUGAUGGGCUGGUCUUCCAGUGUGGCAGCAAAUGUCCCCUGUCUAAAAUGACACAUAUUUGAAAUACAUACAAGGAUCCAGGAUUUAAAAAAAACAAAAACAUUAUAAAGUACAUUAUUUUUACUAUUUCUUUGCGUGUAAAUAUUCACUGCAGCUGUCUUUAAAGAUAUUUAAUCUUAACCAGUGGUUGUACUAAUACUGACUUCUUU